UCUUGCUGUUGUUUUCUUUUUUGAUGUUCUUUUAGUUCAUAUCAUCCUCUUGUUGAUGUUCAUUGGUCUGGGUGAGCCGCUUUCCUCCCAGAAGAGACCCACCCAUAAUUUUGGUGAUGUUAGUUUGGGGCCGAAUGGUGAAUGAUGUUUCUUUGUAUGUUACUUUUCUUGAUGUUGUUCUGUUAUUGCUGUUACUUUUCUUUUGCGAUGUUUUUUUUGCUUUUUUUCCCCUAUUUUUUGGUGUUCUUUUCUAUAUCAUCCUUCUUUGAUGUUCUUUGGUCUGGAUGAGCCUCUUUCUCCCCAGAAAAGACCCACCCAUAAUUUUGAUGUUAGUUUGGGGCCGAAUGGUGGAUGAUGUUUCUCUGUAUGUUACUUUUCUUGACGUUGUUCUGUUAUUGUUGUUACUUUUCUUUUGCGGUUUUUUUAUCUUUUUCCCAUUUUUUGGUGUUCUUUUCUAUAUCAUCCCUUUUUGAUGUUCUUUGGUCUGGAUGAGCCUCUUUCUCCCCAGAAAAGACUUACCCAUAAUUUUGGAGAUGUUAGGGCCUGAAGGUGGAUGAUCUGUGUUUUUUAUUUUAUUUUCUUGAUGUUUUGUUACUAUAUUUUCCUUUUUCUGGUGUUCCUUUUUAUUUUCCUUUUCUUUGGUGUUCCCAUCACGUGGAUUGUCUACGACAUCUAACGAGCACCACAAGCCCCGGUUUAUUGUUCGGAGUUUGCUCUCCUAGGCAGACUGCCUACCACGGCUGACGAGCUCCACCUGCCCGGGUUUAUUGUUCGGAGUUUGCUCUCCUAGGCAGACUGCCUACCACGGCUGACGAGCUCCACCUGCCCGGGUUUAUUGUUCGGAGUUUGCUCUCCUAGGCAGAUUGCCUACCACGGCUGACGAGCUCCACCUGCCCGGGUUUUAUGUAUGGAGUUUGCUCUCCUAGGUGUAUUACCUAUGACGGCUCACGAGCCCAACCUGCCCGGGUUUAUUGUUCGGAGUUUGCUCUCCUAGGUGUAUUACCUAUGACGGCUCACGAGCCCAACCUGCCCGGGUUUAUUGUUCGGAGUUUGCUCUCCUAGGUGAACUGCUUUCGCUAACGACCUCCACCUGCCCGGGUUUGUAAUCGGAGUUUGCUCUCCUAGAUGAACUGCUUUCGCUAACGACCUCCACCUGCCCGGGUUUAUUGUUCGGAGUUUGCUCUCCUAGGUGUAUUACCUAUGACGGCUCACGAGCCCAACCUGCCCGGGUUUAUUGUUCGGAGUUUGCUCUCCU
Long non-coding RNA from Eriocheir sinensis (Chinese mitten crab), 1255 nucleotides. RefSeq lists it as uncharacterized. The transcript is spliced from 5 exons. Lineage: Eukaryota; Metazoa; Arthropoda; Malacostraca; Decapoda; Varunidae. The record is from RefSeq and is a predicted model, not a curated record.